RNAcentral lists this ribosomal RNA (207 nucleotides) under Triticum aestivum (bread wheat). RNAcentral describes it as "partial small subunit ribosomal RNA". Lineage: Eukaryota; Viridiplantae; Streptophyta; Magnoliopsida; Poales; Poaceae. The record is from RNAcentral.
AUGCUUCUACUUUCUGUAUGGAGUUGGGAGAGUCUGCCUGUUGGACACCCGAAGAGCGUCAAGCUUAAUCCUUGGGAUGAAGAUGACGAAUUACGGCGCCCCACUUGGGCUUACAAGUGGGAUGUGGUAUCCGGGAUGACGAGCGAUGUCAAUCUCAUGUACCAAAAGUACACCGCCGAGAUGGACACAUUACGCCUGAGCAGGUAA